CAGAGAAAAGAGAAGAGUUGAACCCUUUGGUAGACAGUGUGCUGCUUGAGGGUUCUAACAGCACCACAUACAUCCAGAACGCCUUCCAGCUCCUCCUCCCGGUUCUCCAGAUGUCACACAUCCAGACCCAGAGCUCUAGAACCCGCACGGAACCACAGCCCUAACCCUGUCGUAGCCACAGUAAACACACCUCAUACUGCUGAAGUGCUGUUAGCAUACUAUAUCCUAAUGAUGUAACUAUGUACAGGAAGAUAAUGUGAUAUAUAAAUAUAUAUAUAUAUAAAUAUAUAAAUAACAGUGAUACUGAAGUCAACUACUAGGUUGCCAUAGUAACAGACUUUAAACUAUUACGUAAUGCAGUAACUUAGUAUAGUUUCAUGUAGGGAACUAUAUAUAUAUAUAAAUAUAUAAAUAACAGUGAUACUGAAGUCAACUACUAGGUUGCCAUAGUAACAGACUUUAAACUAUUACGUAAUGCAGUAACUUAGUAUAGUUUCAUGUAGGGAACAACUUCUCAGAUUGAAGAGCUUGUACUAUUAAGCAUCUCCAAAUUGACUCUUUUAUUAUAUAUAUAUAUAUAUAUAUUACUGUUCAGAGGUAAAUCUAAACAUGAUUCAUGUCAACUGGCUACUUUAACCCGGUGUAUCAGAUUAUGUCUUAUCGUUUUAUAAAGCGAAACCAAAAAAAAUAGUUUUGUUGUCCGGGUUUGUUUUUAGUGUCACGUAAACCAGAUCAGUGUACUGUGUUGUUUAACAGUGGCGUCCCUGAAGCAAAUUAGGGUUCAGUGCUUUUCUCAAAAUGGCACAUCGACAAUAAUAAAAAAAAAAUUUGUUGCUUUGUCAGCUCAGGUGUUCGAACCAGAGACCUUUGGGUUCCUGGGCCCAACGCGCUAACCAACGCGCUAACCGCUAACCUUGACAUUAACGGACAAAGACAAAAAAAGGACCAGAACUAUAAUGUUCUAUAUUUCUAUGUGUGUAUUUGUUUUUAGGUCCACUGGUUUAUUCAGUCGUUGUUCAUCAUUUAUUAAUCUGCUGCUAUGGUAACGGAGAUGGAAUCUGACAACGGAACCUUUAUCUGCUGCUAUGGUAACGGAGAUGGAAUCUGACACUGGUUUAUUAAGUCAUUGUUGGAUCAUUUAUUAAUCUGCUGCCAAGGUAACGGAGAUGGAAUCUGACAACGGAACCUUUAAUCACAAAAUACCAACAACGAAAAAUAAAAACACCUUUUUUAAACCUUUUAA
Molecule: long non-coding RNA, 1243 nt
Organism: Oncorhynchus nerka (sockeye salmon)
Lineage: Eukaryota; Metazoa; Chordata; Actinopteri; Salmoniformes; Salmonidae
Exons: 2
Source: RefSeq, a predicted model, not a curated record